GUGGUUCCGGUCUGUCUGGUACGUAGUUCUGGCCUGCUCAGAAGGUGGUUCAGGAAGGUCCCGCAGGUGGUUCCAGUCUGUCCUGUAAGUGCUUUGGCGUGUCCUGCACAUGGUUCUGGCAUGUCUGAGAGGUGGUUCCAGCAUGCCCGGAAUGUGAUCCGGGACUGCCCCCACAUGGUUCUGGCAUAGCCAGCAGGUGAUUUUGGCGUGUCUGGCAGGUGGUUCUGGCGAGUCGAGCAGGUGGUUCCGGCAUGUCCGGCACGUGGUUCUGGCAUGUCUGAGAGGUUGUGCCAGCAUGCCUGGCACAUGAUUCCGUCUUGUCCGCCUAGUUGUUCUGGAGUAGCUGGCAGGUGAUUUUGGCAUGUCCAGCAGGUGGGUCCUGCGAGUCAAGCAGGUGGUUCCGGCAUGCUCGGAAGGUGGUUCAGGCGUGUUCGGCAGGUGGUUCCAGUCUGUCCAGGACGUGGUUGCAGCGUGUCUGGCACGUGGUUCUAUUACGUCUGAGAGGUGUUUCCAUCAUGUUCGGCAGGUGCUUCUGGCGUCUCCGGCAUGUGCUUCUGGCACGUUUGAGAGGUGGUUCCGGCAUGCCCGGCAGGUGAUUCCGGAGUGUCCGACAAGUGGUUCUGGCGUAGCCGGCAGAUGAUUUUGCCGUGUCCGGUAGGUGGUUCCGGGGAGUCGAGUGGUUGUUCUGGCGUGCUAGGCAGGUGGUUCCGGCUGGUCCAGCAGGUGGUUCCGGUCUGUCCGGAAGGUGGUUCCAGCGUGUCUGGCACAUUGUUCUGGCAUGUCUGAGAGGUGGUUCCGGCAUGCCCAGUAGGUGAUCCUGGAGAGUCCUCCAAGUGGUUCUGGCAUAGCUGGCAGGUGAUUUUGGCGUGUCCGGAAGGUAGGUCUGGCGAGUCAAGCAGGUGAUUCCGGCAUGCUCGGCUGGUGGUUCAGUCAGGUACGGCAGGUGGUUCAGGUCUGUCCGGGAGAUGGUUCCGGCGUGUCCGGCACGUGGUUCCAGCACGUCGGGGAGGUGGCUCCGGCAAGGCCAUCAGUUGAUUCCAGAGAGUCCACCACGUUGUUCUGACAUAGCCAGCAGGUGAUUUUGGCGUGUCCGGCAGGUGGUUCCGGCAAGUCGAGCAGGUGGCUCCGGAGUGCUCGGCAGGUGGUUACGGUGUGUCCGGCAGGUGGUUCCGGUCUGUCCAGUAGGUGGUUCCGUCGUGUUCGGCAUGUGGUUCUGGCACAUCUGAGAGGUGGUUCUGGCAUGCCCGGCAGGUAAUUCUGGAGUGUCCGCCAAGUGGUUCUGGAGUAGCCGGCAGGUGAUUUUGGCGUGUCUGGCAGGUGGUUUUGGGGAGUGGAUCAGGUGGUUCCAGCAUACUCGGCAGGUGGUUCCCCCGUGUCCGGCACAUGGUUCUGACACGUCUGAGAGGUGGUUCCGGUAUGCCCGGCCGGUGAUCCCAGAGAGUCCUCCAAGUGUUUCUGGCGUAGCCGGCAGGUGAUUUUGGAGUGUCCAGCAAGUGAGUCUGGCGAUUCGAGCAGGUGGUUCCGGCGUGCUCGGCUGGUGGUUCAGUCAGGUACGGCAGGUGGUUCCAGUCUGUCCGGGAGAUGGUUCCGGCGUGUCCGCCACGUGGUUCCGGCACGUCGGUGAGGUGGUUACAGCAAGGCCAUCAGGUGAUUCCAGAGAUUCUGCCAAGUGGUUGUGGCAUAGCCGGCAGGUGAUUUUGGCAUGUCCAGCAGGUCGUUGCGGCGAGUCGAGCAGGUGGUUCCGGCAUGCUUGGCAGGUGCUUCUGGUGUCUUUGGCACGUGGUUCUGGCAUGUCUGAGAGCUGGUUUCGGCAUGCACGGCAGGUGGUUCCGGUUUGUCCAGCAGGUGGUUCAGGCAUGUCCGGCAGGCGUUUUUGCAUGUCUGGUGGCGCUUCCGGGGAGUCGAGGAGGUGGUUCCUGCGUGUCCGGCAGGUGGUUCCGGUCUGUCCGGCAGGUGGUUCUGGGGUGUCUGGCACGUGGUUCUGCCACGUUUCAGACGUUGUGCCAGCAUGCCCUUCACGUGAUUCCGGCUUGUCCACCAAGUGGUUCUGGAGUAGCCAGCAGGUGAUUUUGGCUUGUCCGGCAGGUGGGACCGGCGAGUCUGGCAGGUGGUUCCGGUCUGUCUGGGAGGUGGUUCCGGCAUGUCCGGCACGUGCUUCUGGCACGUCUGAGAGGUUGUGCUGGCAUGCCCGACAGGUGAUUCCGGAGUGUCCGACAAGUGGCUCUGUUGUAGCCUGCUGGUGAUUUUGGGGUCUCCGGCAGGUGGUUCCAGCGAGUCGAGCAGGAGGUUUCGGCGAGCUCGGCAGUUGUUUCCAGAAUCUCCAGCAUGUGUUUCUUGCACAUCUGAGAGGUGGUUCCGGCAUGCCCGCCAGGUGAUUCGGGAUUGUCCACCAAGUGGUUCUGGCAUAGCCGGCAGGUGAUUUUGGCAUGUCCGGUAGAUGGUUCUGUGGAGUGGAUCAGGUGGUUCCUGUGUGCUCGACAGGUGGUUCAGGCGGGUCCAGCAGGUCGUUCAGGUCUGUCUGGCAUGUGGUUCCGGUGUCUCAGGCACAUGGUUCUGGCACGUCUGAGAGGUGGUUCCUCAUGCCCGGCAGGUGAUUCCGGAGUGUCCGAAAAGUGGUUCUGGAGUAUCUGGCAGGUAAUUUUGGCGUGUCCGGCAGGUGGUUCUGGGGAGUGUGUCAGGUGGUUCUGCCAUACUUGGCAGGUGGUCCCAGCUUGUCCGGCAUAUGGUUGUGGCAUGUCUGAGUGGUGGUUCCGGAAUGCCCGGCAGGUGAUCCCGGAGAGUCCUCCAAGUGGCUCUGGAGUAGCCGACAGGUGACUUGGGCGUGUCUGGCACGUGAUUCAGGCGAGGUGAGCAUGUGGUUCUGGCGUGCUCGGCAGGUGGUUCAGUCAGGUCUGCCAGGUGGUUCCGGUCUGUCCAGGAGGUGAUUCCGGAGUGUCCAACAAGUGGUUCUGGCGUAGCCAGCUGGUGAUUUUGGGGUGUCUGUCAGGCGUUUCCGGCGAGUCGAGCAGGUGGUUCUGUUGUGCUCGGCAGGAGCUUCCGGUGUCUCCGGCACGUGUUUCUGGCACAUCUGAGAGGUGGUUCUGACAUGCCCGGCAGGUGAUUCCGGAGUGUCCGACAAGUGGUUCUGGCAUUGCCGGCUGGUGAUUUUGGCGUGGCCGGCAGGUAGUUCCGGCGAGUCGAGCAGGUGGUUCCGGCAUGCUAGGCAGGUGGUUCUGGCGGGCCUGGCAGGUGGUUACGGUCUGUAUGGGAGGUGGUUCCGGCGUGUCCGGCACAUGGUUCCGGCACGCCUGAGAUUUGGUUGUGGCAUGCCCAGCAGGUGAUUCCGGAGUGUCCGACAAGUGGUUCUGGCAUAGCCGGCUGGUGGUUUUGGCAUGUCCGGCAGGUGGUUCCGGCUAGUUGAGGAGGUGGCUACGGCAUGCUCGGCCGGUUGGUUCCAGUGUGUCCUGCAGGUGGUUCCCUUCUGUCCGGUAGGUGGUUCCGGCGUGUCGGGCACGUGGUUCUGGCACGUCUGAGAGGUGGUUGCGGCAUGCCCAGAAGGUGAUUCCGGAGUGUUCAGCAAGUGUUUCUGGCGUAGCUGGCAGGUGAUGUUGGCAUGUCCGGCAGGUGGUUCUGGGGAGUGGAUCAGGUGGUUCAGGCAUGCUCGGCAGGUUGUUCACGCGUUUCGGGCAGGUGGUUCCAGUCUGUCCUGUACGUGCUUUUGGCGUGUCCCUCACAUGGUUCUGGAACGUCUGAGAGGGGGUUCCGGCAUGCCCGACAGGUGAUCCCGGACUGUCCCCCACGUGGUUCUGGCGUAGCCGGCAGGUGAUUUUUGCAUGUCCGGCACGUGGUUCUGUGGAGUGGAUCAGGUGGUUUCAGCAUGCUCGGCAGGUGCUUCCGGUAUCUCUGGUAUGUGGUUCUGGCACGUUUGAGAGGUGGUUCCGGCAUGCCCGGCAGGUGAUUCUGGAGUGUCCGACAAGUGGUUCUGGCAUAGCCUGCUGGUGGUUUUGGGGUGACCGGCAGGUGGUUCCAGCGAGUCCAGCAGGUGGUUCCUGCGUGCCAGCAGGUGGUUCAGGCGGGUCCGGCAGGUGGUUUCCGUCUGUCUGGGAUUUGGUUUUGGCAUCUCAGGCACAUGGUUCUGGCACGUCUGAGAGGUGGUUCCAGCAUGCCCGGCAGGUGAUCGCGGAGAGUCCGACAUGUGGUUCUGGCAUAGCUGGCUGGUGAUUGUGGCAUGGCCAGUAGGUCGUUUUGGCAAGUCUAGCAGGUGGUUCCGGCAUGCUGGGCUAGUGGUUCAGGCGUGUAGUGGUCAGACAGGUAGUUCCGGUUUGUCUGGGAGGUGUUUCCGGCGUGCUUGGCAGGUGCUUCCAGCGUCUCCAGCACGUGCUUCUGGCACAUCUGUGAGGUGGUUCCAGCAUGCCCAGCUGGUGAUUCCACAGUGUCCAGCAAGUGGUUCUGGUGUAGCCGGCAGGUGAUUUUCGUG
This is a long non-coding RNA of Equus caballus (horse), 4456 nucleotides long. The record is from Ensembl. NCBI's taxonomy places the organism in Eukaryota, Metazoa, Chordata, Mammalia, Perissodactyla, Equidae.